UAAUACCUCGUUUGGCACGCGACACCGUAUGAUUAGCCGAGUGCAUCUCUCUCGCUUACGCUGGCUCACUCACUCCGUCCCUCUCUCGCAACACUCUCCUUUAACUCUCUCGCAUCGCCUGCUAUCUCUCGUCUGCUUCCAGGAGGAAGACAAUGAUUCAAAUUCUUCCGAUCUGGGCUCUGACGACGAGAAGGACGACGAGGAAGGGAGCUAGGCUCCGCCGAGGAGUUGGAUAGCAAUUUGGAGCUGGGCUCCGAUGAGGAAGGGAGUUGGGCUGCGACGAGGAGGGGGACAGGAAUUCGAAUAUAGGCUUCGAGUUCUUGACCUGGCCGCUACUCUCUGCAAUCGAUCGCCGAGGGAUUAAUGCGCGGGGAAGAUGGUGAAUAAAGGAAGGCGUGAUUGAGAAGAGUCCUGGGUUUUUUUUUUUCCUUUUUUAUUUUUUAUUUUUUAAAUUUUGUCUGCAAUGAUGUUUAAUUUUUUUUUU
This is a long non-coding RNA of Malus domestica (apple), 484 nucleotides long. RefSeq lists it as uncharacterized. The record is from RefSeq and is a predicted model, not a curated record. NCBI's taxonomy places the organism in Eukaryota, Viridiplantae, Streptophyta, Magnoliopsida, Rosales, Rosaceae.